RNAcentral lists this small nucleolar RNA (83 nucleotides) under Neotoma lepida (desert woodrat). Its description in RNAcentral is "Small nucleolar RNA U3". The stretch from base 1 to 41 matches the Rfam family "Small nucleolar RNA U3", at positions 1 to 41 of the family's 219-position model. Lineage: Eukaryota; Metazoa; Chordata; Mammalia; Rodentia; Cricetidae. The record is from Rfam by way of RNAcentral.
AAGACUAUACUUUCAGGGAUCAUUUCUAUAGUUUGUUACUAGAAGAGUAGACUCAGUUUAAGAGGGGUCAAACAAUUAAUGUU